UUCCUAUAGUUGAAAUACGACAACGGCGAUUUUUCAGGUCGUUGGUCUUGGAGAAAAGCCAAAUAGGAAU
RNAcentral lists this transfer RNA (70 nucleotides) under Scolopax mira (Amami woodcock). Its description in RNAcentral is "tRNA-Glu". Lineage: Eukaryota; Metazoa; Chordata; Aves; Charadriiformes; Scolopacidae. The record is from RNAcentral.